RNAcentral lists this ribosomal RNA (416 nucleotides) under uncultured bacterium. RNAcentral's name for it is "bacterial SSU rRNA". It matches the Rfam family "Bacterial small subunit ribosomal RNA", at positions 488 to 902 of the family's 1533-position model. The record is from RNAcentral.
AAGCACCGGCUAACUCCGUGCCAGCAGCCGCGGUAAUACGGAGGGUGCAAGCGUUAUCCGGAAUUAUUGGGCGUAAAGCGCCUGUAGGUUGUUUAAUAAGUCUGUUGUUAAAGACUAGGGCUUAACCCUAGGAAAGCAAUGGAAACUACUAAACUUGAGUAUGGCAGGGGUAGAGGGAAUUUCUAGUGUAGCGGUGAAAUGCGUAGAUAUUAGAAAGAACACCGGUGGCGAAAGCGCUCUACUGGACCAUUACUGACACUCAGAGACGAAAGCUAGGGUAGCAAAUGGGAUUAGAUACCCUAGUAGUCUUAGCCGUAAACGAUGGAUACUAAAAAUUGGGUGCAUUGAUCCGCGUGGUGUUAUAGUUAACGCGUUAAGUAUCCCGCCUGGGGAGUAUGCUCGCAAGGGUGAAACUC